Long non-coding RNA from Thamnophis sirtalis, 463 nucleotides. RefSeq lists it as uncharacterized. Lineage: Eukaryota; Metazoa; Chordata; Lepidosauria; Squamata; Natricidae. The record is from RefSeq and is a predicted model, not a curated record.
AGCCUCAGCAAAGAACUGCUCAGUCCCACUUGACCUGACUUAGAGACUCCUGCCUCUUGAACUGAUUGCUCUGAGUUUCAACCAUGAAGGCUCUUCUCCUCCUUGUUGCCAUCUUCAUGUUUUCCAACCAGGCAGUCACAGUAACUGGCCAAAGCGACCCUGCUAACAUUGCUUGUUUCCAAAGUGGUGGCACCUGUAGACCAUCAUGUCCAUUUCCUGGUGUACAAUCAGGAGACUGUGCUGGUGGUUUCGUUUGCUGUACAUGGGCUCACCAACGUCCUGUAUAAAAUAUCAGGAAAACUCUGAAGAGUCUGAAGAGUUCUGCAGAAGAUACUGAAAUAAGGUGGCUGGAAGAUGUGCAGGCAAUUCUCCUGAGAUACAAACAUUUUGAUUAAAUAUAUAAUCUGGAAAAAGAUAAAUCUUUAACCUAUUGAUCUGUAUAUUAAAGUUCUAUAAUAGCAAU